RNAcentral lists this ribosomal RNA (605 nucleotides) under uncultured bacterium. RNAcentral describes it as "bacterial SSU rRNA". The stretch from base 1 to 533 matches the Rfam family "Bacterial small subunit ribosomal RNA", at positions 338 to 873 of the family's 1533-position model. The record is from RNAcentral.
CCUACGGGAGGCAGCAGUAGGGAAUAUUGGACAAUGGACGCAAGUCUGAUCCAGCCAUCCCGCGUGAAGGAUUAAGGCCCUAUGGGUUGUAAACUUCUUUUCUUUGGGAGUAAAAAGCGGUAUUCAUAUCGCCUUGAAGGUACCAGAGGAAUAAGCACCGGCUAACUCCGUGCCAGCAGCCGCGGUAAUACGGAGGGUGCAAGCGUUAUCCGGAUUCACUGGGUUUAAAGGGUGCGUAGGUGGCUUUGUAAGUCAGCGGUGAAAGCCUGGAGCUCAACUCCAGAAUUGCCAUUGAUACUGCAGAGCUUGAAUCAAGUUGAGGUGGAUGGAAUAUUACAUGUAGCGGUGAAAUGCUUAGAUAUGUAAUAGAACACCGAUUGCGAAGGCAGUUCACUAAGCUUGUAUUGACACUGAGGCACGAAAGCGUGGGGAUCAAACAGGAUUAGAUACCCUGGUAGUCCACGCCCUAAACGAUGCAAACUCGACAUUAGCGAUAUACAGUUAGUGUCCAAGCGAAAGCGUAAGUUGCCNCNGAGACGACGCGAGUAGAACGACAAGAGUAGUAGACGNGAGAGAGACGACGACGACGACGAGGAGGGAGGAGG